GUGCUGCAGCUAACGCAUUAAGUAAUCCGCCUGGGGAGUACGACCGCAAGGUUGAAACUCAAAAGAAUUGACGGGGGCCCGCACAAGCGGUGGAGCAUGUGGUUUAAUUCGAAGCUACGCGAAGAACCUUACCAGGUCUUGACAUCUUCUGACAGUCUAAGAGAUUAGAGGUUCCCUUCGGGGACAGAAUGACAGGUGGUGCAUGGUUGUCGUCAGCUCGUGUCGUGAGAUGUUGGGUUAAGUCCCGCAACGAGCGCAACCCUUAUUACUAGUUGCCAGCAUUAAGUUGGGCACUCUAGUGAGACUGCCGGUGACAAACCGGAGGAAGGUGGGGACGACGUCAAAUCAUCAUGCCCCUUAUGACCUGGGCUACACACGUGCUACAAUGGAUGGUACAACGAGUCGCGAGACCGCGAGGUUAAGCUAAUCUCUUAAAACCAUUCUCAGUUCGGACUGUAGGCUGCAACUCGCCUACACGAAGUCGGAAUCGCUAGUAAUCGCGGAUCAGCAUGCCGCGGUGAAUACGUUCCCGGGCCUUGUACACACCGCCCGUCACACCAUGAGAGUUUGUAACACCCAAAGCCGGUGGGGUAACCUUUUAGGAGCUAGCCGUCUAAGGUGGGACAGAUGAUUAGGGUGAAGU
Molecule: ribosomal RNA, 643 nt
Filed under: Pediococcus sp. EKM202D
Lineage: Bacteria; Bacillati; Bacillota; Bacilli; Lactobacillales; Lactobacillaceae
Description: bacterial SSU rRNA
Rfam family: Bacterial small subunit ribosomal RNA
Source: RNAcentral